This 460-nucleotide ribosomal RNA is filed under the name uncultured bacterium. RNAcentral's name for it is "partial 16S ribosomal RNA". It matches the Rfam family "Bacterial small subunit ribosomal RNA", at positions 338 to 795 of the family's 1533-position model. The record is from RNAcentral.
CCUACGGGUGGCAGCAGUGAGGAAUAUUGGUCAAUGGGCGCGAGCCUGAACCAGCCAAGUCGCGUGAGGGAAGACGGCCCUACGGAUUGUAAACCUCUUUUGCCGGGGAGCAACGUGCGCCACGUGUGGCGCCCCUGAGAGUACCCGGGGAAAAAGCAUCGGCUAACUCCUGGCCAGCAGCCGCGGUAAUACGGGGGAUGCAGGCGUUAUCCGGAUUUAUUGGGUUUAAAGGGUGCGUAGGCGGAGCGUUAAGUCAGGGGUAAAAUUUAGGGGCUCAACCCCUGCCCGCCAUUGAAACUGGCGCUCUUGAGUGGAAGAGAAGUAUGCGGAAUGCGUGGUGUAGCGGUGAAAUGCAUAGAUAUCACGCAGAACCCCGAUUGCGAAGGCAGCAUGCCGGCUUCCGACUGACGCUGAAGCACGAAAGCGUGGGGAUCGAACAGGAUUAGAUACCCUUGUAGUC